Molecule: ribosomal RNA, 1346 nt
Filed under: uncultured bacterium
Lineage: Bacteria
Description: partial 16S ribosomal RNA
Rfam family: Bacterial small subunit ribosomal RNA
Source: RNAcentral
GACGAACGCUGGCGGCGUGCUUAACACAUGCAAGUCGAACGGAAAGGCCCUGCUUUUGUGGGGUGCUCGAGUGGCGAACGGGUGAGUAACACGUGAGUAACCUGCCCUUGACUUUGGGAUAACUUCAGGAAACUGGGGCUAAUACCGGAUAGGAGCUCCUGCUGCAUGGUGGGGGUUGGAAAGUUUCGGCGGUUGGGGAUGGACUCGCGGCUUAUCAGCUUGUUGGUGGGGUAGUGGCUUACCAAGGCUUUGACGGGUAGCCGGCCUGAGAGGGUGACCGGCCACAUUGGGACUGAGAUACGGCCCAGACUCCUACGGGAGGCAGCAGUGGGGAAUAUUGCACAAUGGGCGGAAGCCUGAUGCAGCAACGCCGCGUGCGGGAUGACGGCCUUCGGGUUGUAAACCGCUUUCGCCUGUGACGAAGCGUGAGUGACGGUAAUGGGUAAAGAAGCACCGGCUAACUACGUGCCAGCAGCCGCGGUGAUACGUAGGGUGCGAGCGUUGUCCGGAUUUAUUGGGCGUAAAGGGCUCGUAGGUGGUUGAUCGCGUCGGAAGUGUAAUCUUGGGGCUUAACCCUGAGCGUGCUUUCGAUACGGGUUGACUUGAGGAAGGUAGGGGAGAAUGGAAUUCCUGGUGGAGCGGUGGAAUGCGCAGAUAUCAGGAGGAACACCAGUGGCGAAGGCGGUUCUCUGGGCCUUUCCUGACGCUGAGGAGCGAAAGCGUGGGGAGCGAACAGGCUUAGAUACCCUGGUAGUCCACGCUGUAAACGGUGGGUACUAGGUGUGGGGUCCAUUCCACGGGUUCCGUGCCGUAGCUAACGCUUUAAGUACCCCGCCUGGGGAGUACGGCCGCAAGUCUAAAACUCAAAGGAAUUGACGGGGCCCCGCACAAGCGGCGGAGCAUGCGGAUUAAUUCGAUGCAACGCGUAGAACCUUACCUGGGUUUGACAUGGAUCGGGAGUGCUCAGAGAUGGGUGUGCCUCUUUUGGGGUCGGUUCACAGGUGGUGCAUGGCUGUCGUCAGCUCGUGUCGUGAGAUGUUGGGUUAAGUCCCGCAACGAGCGCAACCCUUGUUCACUGUUGCCAGCACGUUAUGGUGGGGACUCAGUGGAGACCGCCGGGGUCAACUCGGAGGAAGGUGGGGAUGACGUCAAGUCAUCAUGCCCCUUAUGUCCAGGGCUUCACGCAUGCUACAAUGGCUGGUACAGAGAGUGGCGAGCCUGUGAGGGUGAGCGAAUCUCGGAAAGCCGGUCUCAGUUCGGAUUGGGGUCUGCAACUCGACCUCAUGAAGUCGGAGUCGCUAGUAAUCGCAGAUCAGCAACGCUGCGGUGAAUACGUUCCCGGGGCU